This 438-nucleotide ribosomal RNA is filed under the name Wolbachia endosymbiont of Trichogramma ostriniae. RNAcentral describes it as "bacterial SSU rRNA". It matches the Rfam family "Bacterial small subunit ribosomal RNA", at positions 992 to 1428 of the family's 1533-position model. Lineage: Bacteria; Pseudomonadati; Pseudomonadota; Alphaproteobacteria; Rickettsiales; Anaplasmataceae. RNAcentral also lists the same sequence under 1 other name. The record is from RNAcentral.
CAUACCUAUUCGAAGGGAUAGGGUCGGUUCGGCCGGAUUUUACACAAGUGUUGCAUGGCUGUCGUCAGCUCGUGUCGUGAGAUGUUGGGUUAAGUCCUGCAACGAGCGCAACCCUCAUCCUUAGUUGCUAUCAGGUAAUGCUGAGUACUUUAAGGAAACUGCCAGUGAUAAGCUGGAGGAAGGUGGGGAUGAUGUCAAGUCAUCAUGGCCUUUAUGGAGUGGGCUACACACGUGCUACAAUGGUGUCUACAAUGGGCUGCAAGGUGCGCAAGCCUAAGCUAAUCCCUAAAAGACAUCUCAGUUCGGAUUGUACUCUGCAACUCGAGUACAUGAAGUUGGAAUCGCUAGUAAUCGUGGAUCAGCAUGCCACGGUGAAUACGUUCUCGGGUCUUGUACACACUGCCCGUCACGCCAUGGGAAUUGGUUUCACUCGAAGCU